AUUGAACGCUGGCGGCAUGCUUUACACAUGUAAGUCGAACGGCAGCGCGGGCUUCGGCCUGGCGGCGAGUGGCGAACGGGUGAGUAAUGCAUUGGAACGUGCCCAGUAGUGGGGGAUAGCCCGGCGAAAGCCGGAUUAAUACCGCAUACGACCUGAGGGUGAAAGCGGGGGACCGAAAGGCCUCGCGCUAUUGGAGCGGCCGAUGUCGGAUUAGCUAGUUGGUGGGGUAAAGGCUUACCAAGGCGACGAUCCGUAGCUGGUCUGAGAGGACGACCAGCCACACUGGGACUGAGACACGGCCCAGACUCCUACGGGAGGCAGCAGUGGGGAAUUUUGGACAAUGGGGGCAACCCUGAUCCAGCCAUGCCGCGUGCGGGAAGAAGGCCUUCGGGUUGUAAACCGCUUUUGUUCGGGAAGAAAUCCUCUGGGCUAAUACCCCGGGGGGAUGACGGUACCGGAAGAAUAAGCACCGGCUAACUACGUG
RNAcentral lists this ribosomal RNA (484 nucleotides) under uncultured bacterium. RNAcentral describes it as "partial 16S ribosomal RNA". It matches the Rfam family "Bacterial small subunit ribosomal RNA", at positions 28 to 507 of the family's 1533-position model. The record is from RNAcentral.